This 1357-nucleotide ribosomal RNA is filed under the name Ditylum brightwellii. RNAcentral's name for it is "partial Bacterial large subunit ribosomal RNA". It matches the Rfam family "Bacterial large subunit ribosomal RNA", at positions 600 to 1954 of the family's 2925-position model. Lineage: Eukaryota; Bacillariophyta; Thalassiosirophyceae; Lithodesmiales; Lithodesmiaceae. The record is from RNAcentral.
CGUACCUUUUGUAUAAUGGGUCAGCGACUUAGUGUUGCGUGCAAGCUUAAGCCGAUAGGUGUAGGCACAGCGAAAGCGAGUCUUAAUAGGGCGAAUGAGUACGUAGCAUUAGACCCGAAGGCAAGUGAUCUAGAUAUGGGCAGGCUGAAGGUGCAGUAACAUGCACUGGAGGGCCGAACCGUUGAGCGUUGAAAAGCUCUCGGAUGACCUGUGUCUAGGGGUGAAAGGCCAAUCAAACUCGGUGAUAGCUGGUUCUCCCCGAAAGCUAUUUAGGUAGCGCCUCGGACGAAUACCAUUGGGGGUAGAGCACUGUUUCGGCUAGGGGGUCAUCCCGACUUACCAAACCGAUGCAAACUCCGAAUACCUACAAGUGCCGAGCAUGGGAGACACACGGCGGGUGCUAACGUCCGUCGUGAAAAGGGAAACAACCCAGACCGCCAAUUAAGGCCCCUAAGUAAUAGCUAAGUGCGAAACGAUGUGGAGGUGCUGAGACAAUCAGGAGGUUGGCUUAGAAGCAGCCACCCUUUAAAGAAAGCGUAAUAGCUCACUAGUCGAGUCGGCCUGCGCGGAAGAUGUAACGGGGCUAAGCAGAUAACCGAAGCUGCGGAUGUACACGUAAGUGUAUGUGGUAGGGGAGCGUUCUGUAAGCCUGCGAAGGUGUGUUGUAAAGCAUGCUGGAGGUAUCAGAAGUGCGAAUGCUGACAUGAGUAGCGAUAAACAGAGUGAAAGGCUCUGUCGCCGUAAGCCCAAGGUUUCCUACGCAACGUUCAUCGGCGUAGGGUUAGUCGGCCCCUAAGGCGAGGCAGAAAUGCGUAGUCGAUGGGAAGCAGGUUAAUAUUCCUGCACCGACGUGUAAUGCGAUGGGGGGACGGAUCGUGGAAAGUGGUCCAGGUGUUGGAUAUCCUGGUCCCUGCAUCAUAGAGGACAGUUAGGCAAAUCCGGCUGUCAUAUACUCAAGGGUGUGGGGGGAAGUAGCUACGGCUACGAACCCAUUGGAAGUGGUCCCAAGAAAAGCCUCUAAGCUUCAGUUACACGUUGACCGUACCGCAAACCGACACAGGUGGGCGGGAUGAGUAUUCUAAGGCGCUUGAGAGAACUCAGGAGAAGGAACUCGGCAAAUUGGUACCGUAACUUCGGGAGAAGGUACGCCCUUGUAGCUUGACCAUGAACAAUGGAAGGGUGAAGGGGUUGCAAUAAAAUGGUGGCUGCGACUGUUUAAUAAAAACACAGCUCUCUGCAAACACGAAAGUGGACGUAUAGGGAGUGACGCCUGCCCGGUGCUGGAAGAUUAAAUGAUGGGGUGCAAGCUCUUGACUGAAGUCCCAGUAAACGGCGGCCGUAACAAUAACGGUCCUAA